CUGUGUGAUCUUCUCAAGUCUAAAGUUGAAUCAUCUGACUUUCUUGAAAAGCUUGGAAGCAACAAGUCAGUUCCUCACAAUAUGUCUGAUGAGAAUGCAUCUUGGGAUAUGGUUAGCAUGACAGAUUUGUGGGAAGAUAAGCACAUUGGUGGGAGUGAUGAAUCAGAUCCUGAUGGUUAUGUUCUUGUCAAGCAAGAGGACAUAGUGGAGGGGAUUGCUUGCUUCAUGGCCGAAUGCCUAUUAUCACUGAAACAAACUAAAAUGGCCCAUUUUCCUCCAUUUACCAGACUGAAUCAUGUGCAGCCCUUCCCCAAUGUUUUAAGUGCUGUGCUUUGAUGCUGUGUCGGCCGGACACUGGGUGGCACUUGUCAUUCAUGCCAGUGAUUGACACCAACUGGCAGGCAUGCACUGACAUGGUAUGUGCCAACGAAUGACCAGCAUGGAAUUAACUCCCAAUCAACUUCAAGAAGCCCUCAGCAAAACAUUCUCUGUGAAAAAGAAGAAAAGUAUACUUCGGAAGGCAUGGGAUGGAGGCAAAGUUAUUUAUAACCUGGGUUCCUGGAGUGCAACUGCUGUAGGCAUAUACCAGAAUCCAGCAAUGCUUGAAGCAGCCGCUGCAGCCUUUUGGUCUUCCUGCCGUGUGAUUUCAAAGUUAAUAUGAAACUUUUCUGUAAUGAUUUGGGGAACAUGUUUCCUCGGAAAAAAAAAGAAAAAACAGAGAUUUGGGGAAGAUGUGAUACCUCAAGGAUAUGGUAUUCUGCGAAGUAUCCAGGGCCUGGCGCUGUCUUUGUCUCUGAAGAUAAGCUGUUUCAAGGACCUUCACAGAGCUGCCGGAAUUUGACACUCGUUGCUUAUUGUUUGGAAAAUGAUACUAGCUCCCAAAGAUGUAAAAUGCGCAACCAUCUACUUCUAGAUGAUUGAUUGUCCUUUCAUAGUUGUACAUACCUCAACUAGUGAUAUUUGUGAGAUCAACUGUAAAUAUUUCAUUCUUUAGGCAUAUUUAAUACUCCUUUAUCUAAAUCAUAUGGUUUGAGUUCACUUUA
Non-coding RNA from Elaeis guineensis (African oil palm), 1043 nucleotides. NCBI's taxonomy places the organism in Eukaryota, Viridiplantae, Streptophyta, Magnoliopsida, Arecales, Arecaceae. The record is from RefSeq and is a predicted model, not a curated record.